This 462-nucleotide ribosomal RNA is filed under the name uncultured bacterium. Its description in RNAcentral is "partial 16S ribosomal RNA". It matches the Rfam family "Bacterial small subunit ribosomal RNA", at positions 28 to 507 of the family's 1533-position model. The record is from RNAcentral.
GACGAACGCUGGCGGCGUGCUUAACACAUGCAAGUCGAGCGGAAAGGCCCUUCGGGGUACUCGAUCGGCGAACGGGUUAGUAACACGUGAGUAACCUGCCCUAAACUUUGUGUUACCCCUCGGAAACGGGGGCUAAUAUCGGAUACUCCUCCCAAAUCGCCUGCUUUUGUUGGCAGAGGUUUUUGGGCUGUGAUGGACUCGCGGCCUAUCAUCUUGUUGGUGGGGUAAUGGCGUACCAAGGCCAGGACGGGUAGCCGGCCUGAGAAGGGGAACGGGCACCAUGCGACUAAGACACGGACCAGACGGCUACGGGGGGCAGCAGGGGGGAAUAUGACACAGUGAGCGGGAGCCGGAUGAAGCGACGCUGCGUUUGUGAUGCCCGUUUGCUGGGUGUAAAACGCAGUCGGCAGAGACGAAGCGUAAGUGACGGUACCUACAGAAGAAGCGCCGGCUAACUUCGUG